This is a long non-coding RNA of Dalotia coriaria, 1066 nucleotides long. RefSeq lists it as uncharacterized. The transcript has 4 exons. Lineage: Eukaryota; Metazoa; Arthropoda; Insecta; Coleoptera; Staphylinidae. The record is from RefSeq and is a predicted model, not a curated record.
AUCAAAAAGGAGCGCAGACAUGAUGAAAUCACUGGAUCUCUUAUUUUUAGAGUAUUUAAUGGGUACCGUUUUUCAAGUAUUGCCACUUCAAUUAAUUCAGCUUUUCAAUCAAACAAAUGAUGGAACUGCAAUUAUUAGCAAUAUGCCAGGCUAUGCAGGAAAACAAGCUUUUUGCUGUGAAUGUGAAGAAACAGAUAUGAUUGUCUGGACAAUGAAUCUACAAACUACUGGUCUUACAUUCUUGAUUUUCACGCAUAAUAAUCGUUUAAGAUUAACGGUACAACUUGAUGGUAAUUUUAUUGACACAAGAGAAGGAGGACAAUUAAUAGUUGAUGGAAUUUUUAAGUAUAUUGAUCGAUUAGAUGAAGUUACAAAAUAAUCCAUGUUUCUGUUACCUUUGUACUGAAUGUUUAAGCAUUGUAAGUUUUAAAACAGAUUGAAUUCAUUAAAUCCCCACUGAUUGUAACUUGUAACACAUGAUGCAUAUUUUAUAACCAAGAAUAAAAAUAAAUUAGAUACAUACCCGUUAAACGUCACUCAAAUAAUUUAAAAGUCUUAAACAAUGUUUGGAGUACUUGCCCGAAAUGCCAAACAACUGCCAAAUAAAUCUGUGCACCGAAACCUUCUGAUGUUGAACUGGAAAGCUUUUUCAUCUGAAGUAAAAAAAGCAGAAGAUGCAGCAAAAAGUUCAAAUGUCAAUAAAGUAGAAAAGACAAUUUUUGAACGGAUUAUAGACAGAGAACUUAAAGCUGAUAUUAUCUAUGAAGAUGAUACUUGUUUGGCUUUCAAUGAUGUUGCACCACAAGCACCAACUCAUUUUCUUGUAAUUCCAAAGCAAAAAAUUACUCAAUUGAGUAAAGCAUCUGUAGAUGAUUCCAAGAUUUUAGGUACUUUACUUCAUCGAGCCAGUGCUCUAGCAAGAGAAAGAUUACCAAAUGGAUUUAGAGUUGUGAUUAAUGAUGGUGUCCAAGGGUGUCAAUCUGUUUAUCAUCUACAUAUUCAUGUUCUUGGUGGUAGACAAUUACAAUGGCCACCUGGCUAAUAAACAAAUUCUGAUAUUCUAAAA